GGAGGGGUCGCAUAGUCCGGCCGAGUGCGUGCGACUCGAAAUCGCAUGAGCAGCAAUGCUCCGUGGGUUCAAAUCCCACCCCCUCCG
This 87-nucleotide transfer RNA is filed under the name Thermoflexales bacterium. Its description in RNAcentral is "tRNA-Ser". It matches the Rfam family "tRNA". From Rfam's summary of the family: Transfer RNA (tRNA) molecules are approximately 80 nucleotides in length. Their secondary structure includes four short double-helical elements and three loops (D, anti-codon, and T loops). The record is from RNAcentral. Lineage: Bacteria; Bacillati; Chloroflexota; Thermoflexia; Thermoflexales.